Molecule: ribosomal RNA, 513 nt
Filed under: uncultured bacterium
Lineage: Bacteria
Description: partial 16S ribosomal RNA
Rfam family: Bacterial small subunit ribosomal RNA
Source: RNAcentral
GAUGAACGCUGGCGGCGUGCCUAAUACAUGCAAGCCGAGCGAACAGAUAAGGAGCUUGCUCCUUUGACGUUAGCGGCGGACGGGUGAGUAACACGUGGGUAACCUACCUAUAAGACUGGGAUAACUUCGGGAAACCGGAGCUAAUACCGGAUAACAUUUGGAACCGCAUGGUUCUAAAGUGAAUGAUGGUUUUGCUAUCGCUUAUAGAUGGACCCGCGCCGUAUUAGCUAGUUGGUAAGGUAACGGCUUACCAAGGCGACGAUACGUAGCCGACCUGAGAGGGUGAUCGGCCACACUGGAACUGAGACACGGUCCAGACUCCUACGGGAGGCAGCAGUAGGGAAUCUUCCGCAAUGGGCGAAAGCCUGACGGAGCAACGCCGCGUGAGUGAUGAAGGGUUUCGGCUCGUAAAACUCUGUUAUUAGGGAAGAACAAAUGUGUAAGUAACUGUGCACGUCUUGACGGUACCUAAUCAGAAAGCCACGGCUAACUACGUGCCAGCCGCCGCAGUAA